GAAGAGAUGACCGAGUGGUUCAAGGCGUAGCAUUGGAAUAGCUAUGUAGGCUUUUGUUUAUAGAUGGUUCGAACCCCUCUCUUUUCG
RNAcentral lists this transfer RNA (87 nucleotides) under Solanum tuberosum (potato). It matches the Rfam family "tRNA". Rfam says of the family: Transfer RNA (tRNA) molecules are approximately 80 nucleotides in length. Their secondary structure includes four short double-helical elements and three loops (D, anti-codon, and T loops). Further hydrogen bonds mediate the characteristic L-shaped molecular structure. tRNAs have two regions of fundamental functional importance: the anti-codon, which is responsible for specific mRNA codon recognition, and the 3' end, to which the tRNAs corresponding amino acid is attached (by aminoacyl-tRNA synthetases). tRNAs cope with the degeneracy of the genetic code in two manners: having more than one tRNA (with a specific anti-codon) for a particular amino acid; and 'wobble' base-pairing, i.e. permitting non-standard base-pairing at the 3rd anti-codon position. Lineage: Eukaryota; Viridiplantae; Streptophyta; Magnoliopsida; Solanales; Solanaceae. The record is from Rfam by way of RNAcentral.